ACAAAAUGUAUGGUGAUAUUCAUCCAUUUCCAUUCAGGAAUAUCCAUCUACUGGAGUAGACCUCCCGAUCUCUGGUGCUCAGCCUUUACCUGCUGAGAGUUGAGGCAUCUAGCUACAAACUCUACUAUGGCUUUCUUAAUCCGCCUCCACCGGUAAUGCUACCUCAGAUCCUGAUACAUCUUUGUGGCACCCAGAUGGAUGGAGUACCGUAUGCUAUAGGCCUUGAUCAAUAUUUACUCUCGAAUAUCAUCAACAUCGGGUACACAAAUCCGACUCUGCAUCUUCAAUACUCUGUCAUCUCCAACAGUCACAUCCCUAGCAUCGCCAUGGUGAACUGUGUCCCUGAGGACAAGCAAAUGGGGGUCAUCAUACUACCGCUCCCUGAUACGAGCAAACAAUAAAGACCUAGAAACCACACAGGCUAGAACCCGACUGGGCCCUGAAAGGUCCAAUAUCACAAACUGACUGGCUAAGGCCUGAACAUCCAUUUCCAUGGGUCUCUCUGAAGUUGGUAAAUAUGCCAGACUCCCCAAACUCUCUGCCCGGUGACUCAAGGCUUCGGCUACCAUAUUGGCCUUGCCCUGGUGAUAAAGAAUAGUAAUAUCAUAAUCCUUCAGUAGCUCCAACCAUCUCUUCUGGCGCAAGUUCAAAUCCUUCUUCUUGAACAAGUGCUGCAAACUCCGAUGAUCCGUGUAAAUCUCACAAGGCACGCCGUACAAAUAAAUGGUAAUAUCAUAACCUUUCUGUAACUCUAAUCACCUCCUCUUAUGCAAAUUUAGAUCAUUUUGCUUGAACAAGUGCUCCAAACUCCGACGGCCAGUAUAAAUCUCACAAGGCACACCAUACAAAUAAUGACGCCAGAUCUUUAAGGCAUGAACAAUAGUAGCUAACUCAAGGUCAUGGACAGGAUAGUUCUUUUCAUGUACCUUCAACUGUCUUGAUGCGUAGGCAAUCACCCUACAGUCCUACAUCAACACCACUCCAAGUCCAACUCGUGAGGCGUCACAAUAAACCGUAUAGGACCCCAAACCAGUAGGCAAAACUAGAAUAGGGCCUGAAGUCAAAGUCGUCUUGAGCUUUUGGAAGCUCUCUUCACACACGUCUCACCACAGAAAAGGAGCACCCUUCUGGGUCAAUCUAGUCAUAGGGACUGCAAUCGAUGAGAACCCCUCCACAAAACGACGAUAAUACCCAACCAGGCCAAGGGAAAUGCGGAUCUUUGUAGUUGAGGAGGUCCUGGGCCAGCUCUGCACGGCCUCCACCUUUUUCGGAUCUACCCGAAUUCCCUUACUCGAUACCACGUGGCCUAGGAAUGCCACAUAACUCAACCAAAACUCACAUUUUUAGAACUUUGCAUACAUAUUUUAUUCUCUCCAUGUCAAAAGCACUGUCCUCAGGUGUAGUUCAUGAUCUUCCCGACUCCGAGAGAAUACAAGAAUAUCAUCAAUGAAAACAAUGACAAACGAGUCGAGAUAGGGCCUGAAUACAUUGUGCACCAAAUACAAAAAGCUGGUGGGGCGUUGGUCAGCCCAAAUGACAUGACAAUGAAUCGUAAUGACCAUACCGAGUCUUGAAAGCAGUCUUCGGGAUAUCAGGCUCCCGAAUCUUUAGCCGGUGAUAGCCUGAGCGCAAAUCAAUCUUAGAAAAUACUUGUGCACCUUGAAGCUGAUCAAAUAAAUCAUCAAUACGAGGCAAAGGAUAUCGUUUCUUCACUUUAACUUUAUUCAAUUGAUGAUAAUAGAUACACAUGUACAUAGAACCAUCAUUUUUCUUUACAAACAAGAUAGGAGCUCCACAUGGUAAAACACUAGGUCGAAUAAAACCCUUAUCAAGCAAUUCCUGUAACUGAUCCUUGAACUCCUUCAACUCAGGAGCAGCCAUACGGUAAGGAGGAAUGGAUAUGGGUUGAGUGCCCUGAACAAAUCAAAACCAAAAUCAAUGUCCCGAUCGGGAGGCAUGCCCGGAAGAUCAGCAGGAAACACAUCGGGGAAAUCCCGUACUACUAGGACAAAGUCAACAGAACGGUAUCAGCACUGACAUCUCUCACAUAGGCUAAAUACGCGGCACACUCUUUUUCAACCAUACGCUGAGCCUUAAGAAAAGAUAUAACUCUACUGAGAGAAUGAUCAAAAGUACCACUCCACUCAAUACGUGGAAUGCCUAGAAUAGCCAGUGUCAUGGUCUUAGAGUGACAAUCAAGAAUAGCAUACUAGGACGACAACUAGUCCAUGCCCAAGAUAAUAUCGAAAUCAACCAUAUCAAGUAAUAAAAGAUAUGCCCUGGUCUCAAAACC
This 2293-nucleotide long non-coding RNA is filed under the name Nicotiana benthamiana. RNAcentral's name for it is "long non-coding RNA (NBEN_LNC027567)". Lineage: Eukaryota; Viridiplantae; Streptophyta; Magnoliopsida; Solanales; Solanaceae. The record is from RNAcentral.